Molecule: ribosomal RNA, 468 nt
Filed under: uncultured bacterium
Lineage: Bacteria
Description: partial 16S ribosomal RNA
Rfam family: Bacterial small subunit ribosomal RNA
Source: RNAcentral
GAUGAACGCUGGCGGCGUGCUUAACACAUGCAAGUCGAACGGAAAGGCCAGUGCUUGCACUGGUACUCGAGUGGCGAACGGGUGAGUAACACGUGGGUGAUCUGCCCUGCACUUCGGGAUAAGCCUGGGAAACUGGGUCUAAUACCGGAUAGGACAAUGGUUUGGAUGCCGUUGUGGAAAGUUUUUUCGGUGUGGGAUGAGCUCGCGGCCUAUCAGCUUGUUGGUGGGGUAAUGGCCUACCAAGGCGUCGACGGGUAGCCGGCCUGAGAGGGUGUACGGCCACAUUGGGACUGAGAUACAGCCCAGACUCCUACGGGAGGCAGCAGUGGGGAAUAUUGCACAAUGGGCGCAAGCCUGAUGCAGCGACGCCGCGUGGGGGAUGACGGCCUUCGGGUUGUAAACUCCUUUCGCUAGGGACGAAGCGUAUUUGUGACGGUACCUGGAGAAGAAGCACCGGCUAACUACGUG